GCGGGGAGCAGCAUCCACAGCCUUGAGGGGGACCCUGAGGGGUGCAGUAGCGUUGAGAGCUGUCGCGGUUGCGGUGUUGUCGGAUAGUUCCUUUAAAAAUGGCUCGCUAAAGAACUGGACGAGACAAACCAAAAAAGGUGUCAAGAGUUUAUUUGACAAUGAGGGGUGAGGCGUGAAAAACAAGCUCUGCAGAGCAAACUUGGACCAAACAAAGAGAGAAAGGAGGAAAAAAAGAGCGAAACUAGAAGUACACUCCGGGUCUGGGAGACCCAGGACAGGCUACCGCGAAGAGUCAGGACGCGGAGCGCCUCCUGGAGUCCGGUCUUCUUUAUGCUGUCCACAUCUCCGGGGAGCUCUGAGACGUUCUCUACACAAAGAGAUCCUGCAAACCAUCUGGCUUCGCCCUGGGAUCUUGAAAUUGACAGGUCCCGCCCACUCCUCCGGCCAGCUUUGCCUUACCCGACCUCCUGCCUCAGCUGUACUCAGAGGCCCUCCUCGGUGGGACCCCUGGCCUUCCAGUGCCCUAGAUUUAUGACUCACAGCAAGCUCUCCAGCUUUUCUGAAUCUCAGAACAUUACAUGGCACAAUGCGUGGGAAAUGCCUGGCACAUACUAAGCCCUCCACCAAUAUAACAGCUUCGUUCCCCAGAUCUAGAGCAGGAGGGGUCUAGGCCAUGGCAAUCUGCCCCAUGAGUCUUGGAAGGGCCUCUGGAUUUGGAGGCCUCACAAUGGGCUAGAACUCUACCUCACUCAGGGUUCUCAACCACUGGGACUCUUCUGCUGUCCCAGGGCGGGGAGGAAGGGCCCGGGACAAGGUGCUGGAGGGAAUAUCCCCCUGGAUUUUAUAUUCCUUCACUGGUGUGCUUGAAACGCCUAAGCUCCCACAAGACCUUUUGGGUGGCUGCCACUGGCCAGCAGCCUGUCUCUCUGCCCACCCCAAAGGCUGCUCUGCUCCUAAUCAUAUCUGUAGUUAUGGGUGUGGCCGGGCGGUUCUUCAAGUUCUUUAGGCAGAUUUGGCAAAGGAUGGCCUGUUGGGUUGGCUUCUGGAAAUGCCAAAUGAAGCAGGCCAUCUUGAAACACUCUGGCUCUAAGAAACAUACGUUGAAGGGGGUGGGGAAGACUCCCCCACAGCUGGAGAUUUGCAAGUUGACCAAGUCCCCUGGAGAAGCUAAGCUCCCCAGGGAGCAGCAGUCCUCUGGAGUGUCUGAGCCCUCUGUGCUGGCCAGUUCCACAGACAGGACCCGGAUUGGGUUGAGCCACAAGAGCCGCUCUUUGCUGCGGGUGCCCCGGACGGCCGUGCGGUCAGCUUCCAUGAUCAUGCUCUCUGCCCUGCAGUCCAGCUGGCAAAUGUGCUGGUGGAAGCCAUCUGCCAGCUCUGCCUCCAUUUCCUCCCAGUUGAGGACCUCGUCCCCUCUGGACACGCCCGAGGCCGAGCUGCUGCGAGAGGUGUACCUGGUGCUGUGGGCCAUUCGGAAGCAACUUCGGCACCUGGCCCGCCGACAGGAGAGACACAGAAGCCACCACCACGUCAGGACCUACUCCUCUGCCUUGGCCGAACCAGUGCUAGAACUGAAGAAGGAUGCUAGAAGUCCCCUGUAAGGGUCCCCCUCCUCAACGUAGCAAAAUAAACAGUAUUAAAGGGCUGGGGGUGGAGCCCAGUGCAAAGAUCCUGGGUUUGAUUCCCAGCAUUGCUCCCUCGCCCCUGUGUGCCAAAAACUAUUUACAGUGGUUUGUGAGAAAGACCCUACAACCAAGGAGACCUGGCUGGAAAUGCCCAGUCAGAAGCCCCCACCGCCCUGCCUCUCUGACCCUUUGGGUUUAGCUUUGUGUUUGGAGGGUCGCCAUUCUAAAGGUGCUCUUGGGGCUGCAGGAGAUGCAACCCCUGGGAAGAGACAUUGGUCCCUCUGCCUGGCCACCUUGGUUCUGCUCAGGGACUUGCUCUGGCCAGAGCCAGGCUGGGGAGGCCAGAUGAUCAGGAGGAGAUAGGGGAGUGCAGCUUGGCACCAAUGACCAAGUGUCCUACGGGAGACCAUGGUGAUUUGGACGAGGGUUAGCAAACCAGCAAGAGGAGAUACUCUGGCGCCACAAGCUGCAAGGACUUAGACACCUUCUAACCCAGCCUUGAGAGGUACAGACACAUCUCCCAAGAAAAAGCAGUGGCAUUUCACCAGACAGCAGCAGGUGGGAAUUUGAGGAUUCACAGGGGUUGGGGGUGGCAGAGGCUAAGGGGCAGCAGAUUUGCAGCGAAGGGGAGGGGAAGGAAAGGGAGGAGAGGAAGACAGAGGAAAAAGAGGCAAGUGGGGAGAGACAGAGAAGGGAGAGAAGGGUGUGGGAGGGGAUGGAUGAGAGAAUACGGGAGGGGAGAGGUGAGGACAGGAGGGGAAGGGAUGAAA
This is a long non-coding RNA of Chinchilla lanigera (long-tailed chinchilla), 2392 nucleotides long. The record is from Ensembl. NCBI's taxonomy places the organism in Eukaryota, Metazoa, Chordata, Mammalia, Rodentia, Chinchillidae.